RNAcentral lists this ribosomal RNA (253 nucleotides) under uncultured bacterium. RNAcentral describes it as "partial 16S ribosomal RNA". It matches the Rfam family "Bacterial small subunit ribosomal RNA", at positions 524 to 776 of the family's 1533-position model. The record is from RNAcentral.
UACGUAGGGUACAAGCGUUGUCCGGAAUUAUUGGGCGUAAAGAGCUCGUAGGCGGUUUGUCGCGUCGAAUGUGAAAACCCGGGGCUCAACCCCGGGCCUGCAUUCGAUACGGGCAGACUAGAGUUCGGUAGGGGAGUCUGGAAUUCCUGGUGUAGCGGUGAAAUGCGCAGAUAUCAGGAGGAACACCGGUGGCGAAGGCGGGACUCUGGGCCGAUACUGACGCUGAGGAGCGAAAGCGUGGGGAGCAAACAGG